GACGAACGCUGGCGGCGUGCUUAACACAUGCAAGUCGAACGAUGAUCAGGAGCUUGCUCCUGUGAUUAGUGGCGAACGGGUGAGUAACACGUGAGUAACCUGCCCCUGACUCUGGGAUAAGCGUUGGAAACGACGUCUAAUACUGGAUAUGAUCACUGGCCGCAUGGUCUGGUGGUGGAAAGAUUUUUUGGUUGGGGAUGGACUCGCGGCCUAUCAGCUUGUUGGUGAGGUAAUGGCUCACCAAGGCGACGACGGGUAGCCGGCCUGAGAGGGUGACCGGCCACACUGGGACUGAGACACGGCCCAGACUCCUACGGGAGGCAGCAGUGGGGAAUAUUGCACAAUGGGCGAAAGCCUGAUGCAGCAACGCCGCGUGAGGGAUGACGGCCUUCGGGUUGUAAACCACUUUUAGUAGGGAAGAAGCGAAAGUGACGGUACCUGCAGAAAAAGCACCGGCUAACUACGUG
This 467-nucleotide ribosomal RNA is filed under the name uncultured bacterium. RNAcentral describes it as "partial 16S ribosomal RNA". It matches the Rfam family "Bacterial small subunit ribosomal RNA", at positions 28 to 507 of the family's 1533-position model. The record is from RNAcentral.